RNAcentral lists this ribosomal RNA (253 nucleotides) under uncultured bacterium. RNAcentral describes it as "partial 16S ribosomal RNA". It matches the Rfam family "Bacterial small subunit ribosomal RNA", at positions 524 to 776 of the family's 1533-position model. The record is from RNAcentral.
UACAGAGGGGGCAAGCGUUGUUCGGAAUUACUGGGCGUAAAGCGCACGUAGGCGGCUUUGUAAGUUAGAGGUGAAAGCCCGGGGCUCAACUCCGGAAUUGCCUUUAAGACUGCAUCGCUAGAAUUGUGGAGAGGUAAGUGGAAUUCCGAGUGUAGAGGUGAAAUGCGUAGAUAUCGGGAGGAACACCAGUGGCGAAGGCGACUACCUGGCCUGUUCUUGACGCUGAGGCGCGAAAGAUAGGGGAGCAAACGGG